This 497-nucleotide ribosomal RNA is filed under the name uncultured bacterium. RNAcentral describes it as "partial 16S ribosomal RNA". It matches the Rfam family "Bacterial small subunit ribosomal RNA", at positions 28 to 507 of the family's 1533-position model. The record is from RNAcentral.
GAUGAACGCUGGCGGCGUGCCUAAUACAUGCAAGUCGAGCGAACGGACGAGAAGCUUGCUUCUCUGAUGUUAGCGGCGGACGGGUGAGUAACACGUGGAUAACCUACCUAUAAGACUGGGAUAACUUCGGGAAACCGGAGCUAAUACCGGAUGAUAUUUUGAACCGCAUGGUUCAAUAGUGAAAGACGGUCUUGCUGUCACUUAUAGAUUGAUCCGCGCUGCAUUAGCUAGUUGGUAAGGUAACGGCUUACCAAGGCAACGAUGCAUAGCCGACCUGAGAGGGUGAGCGGCCACACUGGAACUGAGACACGGUACAGACUCCUACGGGAGGCAGCAGUAGGGAAACUGCAGCAAUGGGCGAAAGACUGACGGAGAAACGCCGAGUGAGUGAUGAAGGUAUUCGGAUCGUAAAACUCUGUUAUUAGGGAAGAACAGAUGUGUAAGUAACUGUGCACAUCUUGACGGUACCUAAUCAGAAAGCCACGGCUAACUACGUG